Molecule: ribosomal RNA, 1492 nt
Filed under: metagenome
Description: bacterial SSU rRNA
Rfam family: Bacterial small subunit ribosomal RNA
Source: RNAcentral
AGAGUUUGAUCAUGGCUCAGAUUGAACGCUGGCGGCAUGCCUUACACAUGCAAGUCGAACGGUAACGCGGGGGCAACCCUGGCGACGAGUGGCGAACGGGUGAGUAAUACAUCGGAACAUAUCCAGUAGCGGGGGAUAACCUAUCGAAAGAUGGACUAAUACCGCAUACGAUCUACGGAUGAAAGCAGGGGACCGCAAGGCCUUGCACUAUUGGAGUGGCCGAUGUCGGAUUAGCUAGUUGGUGGGGUAAAAGCUUACCAAGGCGACGAUCCGUAGCUGGUCUGAGAGGACGAUCAGCCACACUGGAACUGAGACACGGUCCAGACUCCUACGGGAGGCAGCAGUGGGGAAUUUUGGACAAUGGGCGCAAGCCUGAUCCAGCCAUGCCGCGUGAGUGAAGAAGGCCUUCGGGUUGCAAAGCUCUUUCGGUGAAGACGAAACGGUUCAUGCUAAUAACGUGAACUAAUGACGGUACUCACAGAAGAAGCACCGGCUAACUACGUGCCAGCAGCCGCGGUAAUACGUAGGGUGCAGGCGUUAAUCGGAAUUACUGGGCGUAAAGCGUGCGCAGGCGGUUUGCUAAGACAGGUGUGAAAUCCCCGGGCUUAACCUGGAAUUGCGCUUGUAACUGGCAAGCUAGAGUGUGGCAGAGGGGGGUGGAAUUCCACGUGUAGCAGUGAAAUGCGUAGAUAUGUGGAGGAACACCGAUGGCGAAGGCAGCCCCCUGGGUUAACACUGACGCUCAUGCACGAAAGCGUGGGGAGCAAACAGGAUUAGAUACCCUGGUAGUCCACGCCCUAAACUAUGUCAACUAGUUGUCGGGGAAGAAAUUCCUUGGUAACGAAGCUAACGCGUGAAGUUGACCGCCUGGGGAGUACGGCCGCAAGGUUAAAACUCAAAGGAAUUGACGGGGACCCGCACAAGCGGUGGAUUAUGUGGAUUAAUUCGAUGCAACGCGAAAAACCUUACCUACCCUUGACAUGCUAGGAAGCCCGCAGAGAUGUGGGUGUGCCCGAAAGGGAACCUAGACACAGGUGCUGCAUGGCUGUCGUCAGCUCGUGUCGUGAGAUGUUGGGUUAAGUCCCGCGACGAGCGCAACCCUUGCCAUUAGUUGCUACAUUCAGUUGGGCACUCUAAUGGGACCGCCGGUGACAAACCGGAGGAAGGUGGGGAUGACGUCAAGUCCUCAUGGCCCUUAUGGGUAGGGCUUCACACGUAAUACAAUGGUCGGUACAGAGGGCUGCCAACCCGCAAGGGGGAGCUAAUCCCAGAAAGCCGAUCGUAGUCCGGAUUGUAGUCUGCAACUCGACUGCAUGAAGCCGGAAUCGCUAGUAAUCGCGGAUCAGCAUGUCGCGGUGAAUACGUUCCCGGGUCUUGUACACACCGCCCGUCACACCAUGGGAGUGGGUUCCACCAGAAGUAGUUAGCCUAACCGCAAGGAGGGCGAUUACCACGGUGAGAUUCAUGACUGGGGUGAAGUCGUAACAAGGUA